This 73-nucleotide transfer RNA is filed under the name Abispa ephippium (large potter wasp). Its description in RNAcentral is "tRNA-Leu". Lineage: Eukaryota; Metazoa; Arthropoda; Insecta; Hymenoptera; Vespidae. The record is from RNAcentral.
UAUAAUAUGGCAGAAUUAAGUGCAUUGGUCUUAAAACCCAAACAUGAAGAUAUAAAUUUAUCUUUUAUUAUAA